GGCGUGUUAGAAAUAUCUAGAUAUUUGUGUAAGGGAAUUGGAGGGCUAGGAUUGGCCAAGGGAAAGUGCUUUUGAUCAAGUGGUCAUGGUGGAGCAAGACCACUUGUCAUAGGUUUUGUUUGGUAGACUUUUGGGACUUAGAAAAAAUUGUGAAACCUCUCCUUCUCUUCUCUCACAAACCGUCCUUCUCUCCCUCUCACACAAAGCUUCAUUGAUUUUUCAUUUCUCACCCAUUCAAGCUAGGAAUUGUCUUGUUGGAUCAAGGAACUUGCAAGGAUAUCACUACUCAUAAGGGCGCACGAAUUGUUGCAUAACUCGGAAUCGUUUGUAAUUGGAAGUUUCGCCGAGACGAUGGAGCGCCAUCUGAGUCCGUAGGCCGUGUGGACGGCGAGGACUUCGUGGACUAUCCCGGAGUGUAGAGAGUAGCGCUUGUUAGGCUACAUUUUGGUAGGCUUAGGGUCUAGGUUAUAUUUUGGGAUGACUGUAUGUUUUAUACAUUA
Molecule: long non-coding RNA, 500 nt
Organism: Trifolium pratense (red clover)
Lineage: Eukaryota; Viridiplantae; Streptophyta; Magnoliopsida; Fabales; Fabaceae
Exons: 3
Source: RefSeq, a predicted model, not a curated record